Molecule: ribosomal RNA, 253 nt
Filed under: uncultured bacterium
Lineage: Bacteria
Description: partial 16S ribosomal RNA
Rfam family: Bacterial small subunit ribosomal RNA
Source: RNAcentral
UACGUAGGGUGCGAGCGUUGUCCGGAUUUAUUGGGCGUAAAGAGCUCGUAGGCGGUCUGUCGCGUCUGCUGUGAAAUCCCGAGGCUCAACCUCGGGAUUGCAGUGGGUACGGGCAGGCUAGAGUGCGGUAGGGGAGAAUGGAACUCCUGGUGUAGCGGUGGAAUGCGCAGAUAUCAGGAAGAACACCGAUGGCGAAGGCAGUUCUCUGGGCCGUAACUGACGCUGAGGAGCGAAAGCGUGGGGAGCGAACAGG